UGCAAGCUAACGCAUUAAGCACUCCGCCUGGGGAGUACGUCGCAAGACUGAAACUCAAAGGAAUUGACGGGGGCCCGCACAAGCGGUGGAGCAUGUGUUUAAUUCGAAGCAACGCGAAGAACCUUACCAGGUCUUGACAUCCCAUUGACCACUAUGGAGACAUAGUUUUCCCUUCGGGGACAACGGUGACAGGUGGUGCAUGGUUGUCGUCAGCUCGUGUCGUGAGAUGUUGGGUUAAGUCCCGCAACGAGCGCAACCCUUGUUCUUAGUUGCCAUCAUUUAGUUGGGCACUCUAAGGAGACUGCCGGUGACAAACCGGAGGAAGGUGGGGAUGACGUCAAAUCAUCAUGCCCCUUAUGACCUGGGCUACACACGUGCUACAAUGGACGGUACAAACGGUUGCCAACCCGCGAGGGGGAGCUAAUCCGAUAAAACCGUUCUCAGUUCGGAUUGUAGGCUGCAACUCGCCUACAUGAAGCCGGAAUCGCUAGUAAUCGCGGAUCAGCAUGCCGCGGUGAAUACGUUCCCGGGCCUUGUACACACCGCCCGUCACACCACGAGAGUUUGUAACACCCGAAGUCGGUGAGGUAACCUUUUGGGGCCAGCCGCCGAAGGUGGGACAGAUGAUUGGGGUGU
Molecule: ribosomal RNA, 636 nt
Filed under: Lysinibacillus odysseyi
Lineage: Bacteria; Bacillati; Bacillota; Bacilli; Caryophanales; Bacillaceae
Description: SSU rRNA
Rfam family: Bacterial small subunit ribosomal RNA
Source: RNAcentral